AUUAGGAUUUGGUUUAGGAUUUGGUUAGGAUUUGAUUUAGGAUUUAGGAUUUUAUUAGGAUUUAAGAUUCAAUUAGUUUGGCUUAAAGUUUGAAUGAAGUUCAAUAAGAUUUUAACUAGAAUUAAAUUAAGAUUGAAUUGAGAUGUAUUUGAAUGACAUUUGUGUUCUUUCUAAUGUUUCUUUAAAAAUUCCUAUUGUUUGUUUGAAAUUUCUUUGAGGUUUUUUUGAAUUUGAUUAAGCUUGCUUAGUAUUAUUAUA
RNAcentral lists this long non-coding RNA (258 nucleotides) under Physcomitrium patens. RNAcentral's name for it is "long non-coding RNA (PPAT_LNC007784)". Lineage: Eukaryota; Viridiplantae; Streptophyta; Bryopsida; Funariales; Funariaceae. The record is from RNAcentral.